This is a long non-coding RNA of Bos taurus (domestic cattle), 5176 nucleotides long. The record is from Ensembl. Lineage: Eukaryota; Metazoa; Chordata; Mammalia; Artiodactyla; Bovidae.
CCACAUCAGCCCAUGUUCUCUGUCCAUGUCUCUUGGAUGGAAAUGAUAAAGGAGGAGAUUGCACAGGAAAUCCAUGAUAAAUUUAGACAUUACCUGCUGUGUCCCCCUGAGAGUCACAUGCUGAAAUCCGAAUGUCCAAGAUGGUGGUGUUGGGAGGUGGGGCCUCUGGGAGGUGAGAGGUCACUGGGCUGGAGACUCAUGAAGGGGUUAGUGCCCUCAUAAAAGAGACCCUACAGCCCUCCUCCCUGCAAGAGUCUGUGACCUGGAAGGAGGCUCUCACUCAACCGAACUUCCGGCCUCUGGGUCUGUGAGAAAGGGACUUCUGUUGUCUAUCAGCUGCUCAGUCUGUGGCAUUUGUGAUAGCAUCCCGAGGGACUCAGACAGUAGCCCGACAAUCACAAGAGUUCACCCAGCCUUCCCAGGUACCCAGUAAGAGAGGUGUGCUGUGAGGACGUCACUUGAGAGAGGUGUUGAGUGCAGCUCAGAGAGGCUGAGUGUCUUGUCUAAGGGCAUACAGCGGGAAGCAGCAGAACCAGGCUCUCGUCCCUAGGAAGAGGCGCAUGGUCAGCAUAGUGGUCCCAGCAGACCCCAAGCUCCUCCCUCUAGCCCCAGAGAUGCAGGUGGACCAGCCAGGACCCCCAAACUGGCUGUUGUGCCCCCCAAGCAGGGCAGGGCUGGGCCCACAGCAAUCUUAGAUAGGAAUCCACCUGCUCACUCCUCUGGGAGUGAGGGACGGUGCAGGACACCCAUCCUGACUGGUCUGGGCUGCUCCUCAGUCUCCGGGCCUCACGGUUUAUCUCCAUGUAGCACAGAUCCUUUAAACACGUCAGCAUUGCUAUGAAAAUCAGGAUCAAUUCUGGCCAAGACCUGACUCACCCAUUGUCCCUGCUCAUUGUCCUUUUAGGAAAUUCUUCCCAAGGGGGCUCCUGUGGGUUUGGGCAGAGGGGCCUCAUGGUGACCCUCAUGCCAUGUGUCCGGUCACCCCUCACCUCCUGGGGAGGCACACUUUCCAGAAGUCAUCAGAACAAGCUGGUCUUUCCUGGAAGGAUCCGGGCUCUCCCAACACUUCCUGGAUUUGCAGGUUCCCGAAUUCACCAGUAUUCUUUCUCAACCUUUAUUUAUUUAUCUCACUUUAUUAUUUUUGGAUUAAUGUAAAUGAAGUCUGUGUUUGGCUUGCUAGAAUGGAUGAAAGGUUUGCUCAGGUCAGAAGCUUCAAAGUGGGUUUUGAUGGAAGAAAACUGAUAAAAAAAUCUCUGCAGUGUUUUUUAACCUUCACCCCGUGUUGGUAUGAGAUGAGGAGGAUGGGGAGGUGAUGAUGGGAAGAGACUUGCUCCCAUCUUCACCCACACGGUGGGGGGAGAGCACCCACGGGCACCUGUCUGGGGCGGGACGUCACUGGGCCCCCACCCCGCUGGCCGGAACCUAGCCGUGGGCUCACACCUGCACACUCUGCACCUUUAGUAAGAACAGGCUCCAGGGUGGUGGGUCUUUGGGAGGGACAAUCAUGCCUAGUUACAGUUAGUAUUAUCAGCUGAGAGGAGAAUGGAUAUUGGUGAGCACUAUUAAUAGCCACUUCUGCCUUCACACCUGCCCGUCAGGCUGGUUUUAAUCUGGAGACCGAGGUUCUAUCUGAGGCGCCCAGAGAAGUCAGCUCCUACCAGGGUCAGCCCUUCAGUGUUCUGCUAAGAUGUGUCUCCUCCUCCCAUCUCUCUGUGCUGUGGGUUGUACCCUCCUAUUGUCUUGGUUUGGAUCCGCAACCCCCUACCCCAGGCAGACCAGGGUCAAGGUUGGGUGCGAGGGGUCUGUUUGAGAGGCGACCUCAGGGGACAUCAGGAAAGGAGAGCGGGAAGAGAAAGGGCCAGUGCCCAGUGCCUUCUUGGCCCUGUGACCGUGGUGGGAGCUCGAGGGGACUGUGGAUCACCCCUUGGAGUUUCUCAGCUGCUCAGCCAGGGCGCCAGGACGUUGCCCACCUACUCUCCCUGGUUGAGAACUGCUCCCAAGGACAGUGGUUCCUGGCAGUUCUGGCCUGCCUGUCUGCGCUCAGGCCAUGCUUGUGCCCCCAGCAGAAAACGCUCCCGCGAGAGGCUGCAGGCGCCAGAGGAAGCCACGGCUGUGUCCAGGAUGAUGCCUGCCAAGGCCGGGCACCAGCAGCGAUGCUACAGCCGUGUCCUGAGCUGACGAACCCCCGGUCUCCACGGAGUCACUCCCCUCACCUCCCCACCAGCUGUGAGCUGCUGACGUGGCAGCUUCGUGGCUUGGACGACUCCACGGAAGCUCUGCUGCUGGGAGCCUGAGGAGCCACUUACAAUUUAGGGGUGACCUCUUUCCUAAGGUUCCCAGGCACUCCUGCGCCCAGCCCUGUCCUUCAGGAAGGCGGCUGUGUAUUAGUUCGCUAUCUGGGGGCUUGGACAGCCGCAAGGUUGUCUCCCGCAGUCAGGAGGCCCCACGUCUGAGACCAAGGUGCGAGUGGGGCUGCUGCACCUGGGCUGGGAGCAGGACCUGCUCGGGGUUCCCUGGCCACCCGGUGCUCCCUGUAGACAUGUCCCCACCAUCUCCGCCCAUGUGCCCUCUGUGCCCACAGCCCCCCCUUUUAUCAGUGGGAGGCCCACCCUCGCCAGUGUGACCUCAUCUUGACUAACACCAUAUUUCCAAAUAAGGGCACAUUCUGAGGUGCUGGGUUUUGGGACUCCCACAUGGGGAUUUGGGGAGGGCAUGGUUCAGCACGCAAAGGGUGGGAGAAGAUGGCAAAGGGGCUGCCACACGGCGUGUGAGAGGAUCUGAUGUAGAUCAGCGGAGCCCCCAGGCAGGUGGAGGUGUGUGCCGAGGUCACCCUCCGGGCAGGGCACAAGCGCUUCUUCUGAGACACUUGAGGUCGGAAUGAACGGGCUCCAUGCAUCGUGUGGCCUCACCAGGGCCCUUGGUUUUUGAACUCGAGUGCCCUUUGGGUUUCAUCCAGCUCUGCCGAGGCAGCCCCUAGGAUCCUCCCUGAAACGGGACCCGGGGCGGGGUGUGGAGCUUCCACUGACAGCCGGGAGGAGCGGACCCUGCGGCCUGUGACUCUUCGGUGCCUGCUUUCAACCUCCGGGCAGUGGGGGUGGGGGAGCAGGCAGAGGGAGUCGGAAAGUGGUCCGGUCCCCAGAGCGGUCACUGGCCAUCCUCCGCCCCCUGGAGAAUAAUCCAUUUAAAACUUCUGAGCUGUCUAGACUUGUUAUCUGGCCCCUAAUUCCUGAGAGCCCGGAGCGGGCAGCAGCGGGACUGCCGAGAUAGCAAGAGGGUGAAGUCAUUGGCGUAAAUCCUGCAGCAGGAAGUCGGCUCCAGGAACGAUGGACGAGCGUGGGCCGGUGCCCGCACGGGGGGCAAGAUAACGCGUCUAGACUCCGCUGGCCAUUUCCUCCCCUUCCUCUAGGUGUCCUAUCGGCCGCCCCGCGGCCUUCCUGCUCGCUCUUCCCGUGCCCCGCAGGAGAAACCCUCUCAGGAAGACCUCACUUCAUUUUCGGUGUGAGGGGCUGGGUGUGGGCGCCUUCUCUAUGCCACGGCGACGGCGGGGACAGCCAGGCCAGCCUCCACCACCCUGUCAUUUCUGAGAGUUCAACGGGUUAGGGGAAAAAUGACGUUUUCUCGCCAGCAUCCAAAGGUCAAUGGAAGGUCAUUGGUGGGAUCAGGAGGACACAAGUUGAUGUCAAACAGACCCAGAGAUUUCCACAAGUCCUGGAGAGAAAAGAGCCCGGAGCAAAGCUUAUCUGAAAACCCCUGGGAGCUGUGGAACGCUGCUCAAGCUGCAUAACCUCCCAUUUCCGGAGAGAAUGGCUCGUUUCAUUGGCCCCAGAGCAUGCUGGGUGAUCCUGAACCCUGAAGUCAGGGUGGGGAGUGAGGUCAAAAGGUCAUCUGGUUCACUCCCCUGCCUCUAGGCAGGAUUCUCCCAGCAAAGAGUCGUCGUGUGUGUUCUAGCAAGCAAGGCCGCAAGUGGGGGCUUGGGGAGGAAACAGGCCUGUGAGCACCUGUGAGCAAUGAUGACGUGGUAAUCCCCGCCAGCUGUCCAAGUCUGCGAGCCCCACCAGUGCCUUGAAGUUUGGAGAACUGCACUGGGACCUGUUGGGGGACAUUGGUGGGAAAGAGCGCAGUGUGUCCAGAGAUCAGCCACCACCUCUGGGGCAACAACCACAGAACAUCAAUGACAACAACAGAAGCGAAAAUGUCUUGAGCAGUUGCCAUUCGCAGGGUUAUGUGGAGUGGCUAAAUGCUUGCACGUCAUCUCUUGAAUCAUCAUAUAAGCCUCUAAGCCCACGGGGGGGUCCUGUUGUAAUUGUCCAAAAUGAGGCUCAGAGAUGGAAGGUGCCUGCCCAAGGUCCCCUAGUCUGUAAGAAGCACAGGUAGAGUUUGGCUCAGUUGGAGCGACUUCAGAGCCCAGGACUGAACAGCUGCUCCUCAUGUGAAUGUACCACGUGUGUCCUGUUCCACUGAGCAGAUGUAAGAGAAAGCUAUGCUGUGUGAAAGGAGGUCAAAGUCAGCAAGAAGAGUGCGUCUAAAGAUGCAGAAGGCCCUUGAGUCUCACCCAGCCAUGAACAUAGCCUCAAGCUGGAGGCGGACCCCACUAAAGCGGCUGCAGAGAUUGUGAGGAAGAAAAAGGAAGACCAGACUGAGAGUGCCCAGGAGUCCCAGCUGGCCACAGCGGAGGAGCUGCCUAAUACCUGAGUCCAUGGGAAGUGUGACGUUUGUCAUUAAGGCGCUAUCAGUAGGGGGCUAGUUAAAUAAACAGACAAUGAAUGGGGCACCUGGUGGAAUAGUAUGCAGCCAUCAAAAGGAAUGCAAGGCUCUUUAUGUAACGAUGUGGAAUGAUCACCAAAGUAGUUGAAUGAAAAGCCGCUCGAUUUUACGUGAGUGUGUGUGUACUUACGUGUGUAAGUGUAUGUAUUCAUAUGCUUGCUGCUGCUGCUGCUAAGUUGCUUCAGUCGUGUCCGACUCUGUGUGACCCCACAGACGGCAGCCCACCAGGCUCCCCCGUCCCUGGGAUUCUCCAGGCAAGAACACUGGAGUGGGUUGCCACUUCCUUCUCCAAUGCAUGAAAGUGAAAAGUGAAAGUGAAGUCGCUCAGUCGUGUCCGACCCUCAGCGACCCCAUGGACUGCAGCCUACUAGGCUCCUCCGUCCAUGGGAUUUUCCAGGCAAGAGUACUGGAG